Molecule: long non-coding RNA, 680 nt
Filed under: Pongo abelii (Sumatran orangutan)
Lineage: Eukaryota; Metazoa; Chordata; Mammalia; Primates; Hominidae
Description: lincRNA
Source: RNAcentral
UCAUGGAGUUUGCAGUAUAUUGAACAGGUAGACCACCAAGAAAUUAUAAUAAGGUACAUUCAGUCUUCUCAUUAUCAGUAAUUCUUUAUUAGGUUUCUAGGUUCUGGGAGGAGGGUGUUACAGAAUGCUGAGCUGGGAAGCUUCAAUCAUGAGAUUUUAAUAUUUAUCAGUAAAGGGUUUAAAAAGGUAGAGAAAAACUGAGUUAAAGGAAUUAACUGCCACAGACAAAAAUAAAGUGGUCCCUUGGCCUACUUCUUGGAAUCUCUACUGCAAUAAUUGCUAUGUGUGUGGCAACUUCCUGGAGGUUACUUAUAUAAAAAUGUAUCCUGAAGUAAUUCAAAUGUGUCAUGCUAAUGCUCUGUCCACUUCUUACUAAAAUGUAUGGGUUAAAAUUAACAGUAAUACUUUCAUCUGGAUACUGAAUCAAACUAAGUAGAAAUUACUCAUUUCUAAGUUGUAAUGUAUUGUAUAUAUAAAUGUAACAUUGUUAUAAUACAAUUAUAUGUAUACAAUGUAAAAAUGUAAUAUAUUGUGUAUAUGUACAAAUGUACAUUUGUUGUGCAAUAUUGUGCAAUAUAAUUGUGAUAUUUUCAAGCCCUAUAUGAAUAAGGCUGUUAUUUGCAUGACUGUAUCCUAUGAAUAGUUAUGGAAAUGAAUAAAUAAGCUUUUUAGAAACAGUU